Annulohypoxylon maeteangense is the source of this 127-nucleotide non-coding RNA. Lineage: Eukaryota; Fungi; Ascomycota; Sordariomycetes; Xylariales; Hypoxylaceae. The record is from the annotation of a RefSeq genome assembly.
GCCCGGUUAGCUCAAUCGGUAGAGGUUAGUUGAUUGCCGCAUAGUCCUUUAACCAUGUGACACUAACAGUCCAAAUAGCGUGAGACUCUUAAUCUCAAGGUUGCGGGUUCGACCCCCGCAUCGGGCU